Molecule: ribosomal RNA, 497 nt
Filed under: uncultured bacterium
Lineage: Bacteria
Description: partial 16S ribosomal RNA
Rfam family: Bacterial small subunit ribosomal RNA
Source: RNAcentral
GAUGAACGCUGGCGGCGUGCCUAAUGCAUGCGAGUCGAGCGAACAGACGAGGAGCUUGCUCCUCUGACGUUAGCGGCGGACGGGUGAGUAACACGUGGAUAACCUACCUAUAAGACUGGGAUAACUUCGGGAAACCGGAGCUAAUACCGGAUAAUAUAUUGAACCGCAUGGUUCAAUAGUGAAAGACGGUUUUGCUGUCACUUAUAGAUGGAUCCGCGCCGCAUUAGCUAGUUGGUAAGGUAACGGCUUACCAAGGCAACGAUGCGUAGCCGACCUGAGAGGGUGAUCGGCCACACUGGAACUGAGACACGGUCCAGACUCCUACGGGAGGCAGCAGUAGGGAAUCUUCCGCAAUGGGCGAAAGCCUGACGGAGCAACGCCGCGUGAGUGAUGAAGGUCUUCGGAUCGUAAAACUCUGUUAUUAGGGAAGAACAAAUGUGUAAGUAACUAUGCACGUCUUGACGGUACCUAAUCAGAAAGCCACGGCUAACUACGUG